This 123-nucleotide microRNA precursor is filed under the name Nicotiana sylvestris (wood tobacco). RNAcentral's name for it is "MIR6152 microRNA precursor family". It matches the Rfam family "MIR6152 microRNA precursor family". The record is from Rfam by way of RNAcentral. RNAcentral also lists the same sequence under 1 other name. Lineage: Eukaryota; Viridiplantae; Streptophyta; Magnoliopsida; Solanales; Solanaceae.
UAGACAAAUUAUUGUAUUCGACUGUAUUCACGAUAUGUAUUUGCAAAUACAGUAACGUAGCAAUUCAUGGUCUAUUCAACUAUUUUUAAACGGAAAGUGAAUCAAUUAACAUAAUAGACUCCU